RNAcentral lists this ribosomal RNA (190 nucleotides) under uncultured Staphylococcus sp. Its description in RNAcentral is "partial 16S ribosomal RNA". It matches the Rfam family "Bacterial small subunit ribosomal RNA", at positions 150 to 334 of the family's 1533-position model. Lineage: Bacteria; Bacillati; Bacillota; Bacilli; Caryophanales; Staphylococcaceae. The record is from RNAcentral.
CGGGAAACCGGAGCUAAUACCGGAUAAUAUAUUGAACCGCAUGGUUCAAUAGUGAAAGACGGUUUUGCUGUCACUUAUAGAUGGAUCCGCGCCGCAUUAGCUAGUUGGUAAGGUAACGGCUUACCAAGGCAACGAUGCGUAGCCGACCUGAGAGGGUGAUCGGCCACACUGGAACUGAGACACGGUCCAG